RNAcentral lists this ribosomal RNA (425 nucleotides) under uncultured bacterium. Its description in RNAcentral is "partial 16S ribosomal RNA". It matches the Rfam family "Bacterial small subunit ribosomal RNA", at positions 359 to 776 of the family's 1533-position model. The record is from RNAcentral.
GAAUUUUGGACAAUGGGCGAAAGCCUGAUCCAGCAAUGCCGCGUUCAGGAUGAAGGCCUUCGGGUUGUAAACUGCUUUUGUACGGAACGAAAAUCUUUGGGUUAAUACUCUGGAGUCAUGCCGGUACCGUAAGAAUACGCACCGUCUAACUGCGUGCCAGCCGCCGCGGGAAUACGUAGGGUACAAGCGGUAAUCGGAAUUACUGGGCGUAAAGCUGGCGCAGGCGGUUAGAGAAGACAGAUGUGAAAUCCCCGGGCUCAACCUGGGAACUGCAUUUGUGACUGUAUAGAUAGAGUACGGUAGAGGGGGAUGGAAUUCCGCGUGUAGCAGUGAAAUGCGUAGAUAUAGGAAGGAACACCAGUGGCGAAGGCGACCACCUGGGCUAAUACUGACACUGAGGUGCGAAAGCGUGGGGAGCAAACAGG